UUUAUGGAGAGUUUGAUCCUGGCUCAGGACGAACGCUGGCGGCGUGCCUAAUACAUGCAAGUGGAGCGGAUGACAGAGGAGCUUGCUCCUCCUGAUUCAGCGGCGGACGGGUGAGUAACACGUGGGCAACCUGCCCUGUAGAUUGGGAUAACUCCGGGAAACCGGGGCUAAUACCGAAUAAUCCUUCGGACCUCAUGGUCCGAUGUUGAAAGACGGCUCCGGCUGUCACUACAGGAUGGGCCCGCGGCGCAUUAGCUAGUUGGUGAGGUAACGGCUCACCAAGGCGACGAUGCGUA
RNAcentral lists this ribosomal RNA (296 nucleotides) under Chryseomicrobium excrementi. Its description in RNAcentral is "partial 16S ribosomal RNA". It matches the Rfam family "Bacterial small subunit ribosomal RNA", at positions 1 to 285 of the family's 1533-position model. Lineage: Bacteria; Bacillati; Bacillota; Bacilli; Caryophanales; Caryophanaceae. The record is from RNAcentral.